Molecule: long non-coding RNA, 643 nt
Organism: Rosa rugosa (rugosa rose)
Lineage: Eukaryota; Viridiplantae; Streptophyta; Magnoliopsida; Rosales; Rosaceae
Exons: 4
Source: RefSeq, a predicted model, not a curated record
CUUCCUCUUCCGGCCGACUCCGGACGUAAUCCGGCCACCCCCAAGCUCGGUUUCUUCCCCCGGUCACGUCUCUGGAGGUAUAUUUGGACGAUUUGGCCGGAAAAGCUCGGAUCGAAGGAAAUUCCUCCCCGGUUGCAGUUUUGGGAUUUUGCCGAUUUCCGGCCAUUCCGGCCACCUCCGGCCGCCAUAUUCCCAUCGAAGGGUUCUUGGAGCUUCGGGGCUUUCCUUCACCGGCUCGAUUCGGCCACUUAGAGGACGAGAGGAGUCUCCAUACGAGGAGAACCACGAGCGACGUCAGGAUUGACCGCAUAUUAUUGCAGUACUGUUGCUCGGUGUACGAGGGUGAGCCAUAGUGACCGUACCUGCUUCCGCCAUCACAUUCUGUAGGUUACCUGGUUAACCUACUGUAUUCCUUGUCUAUUUAUAUUCCUAGAAUGCUCUGAUUACUAAGGGAUAUGUGACCCAACUUAUAUGUAUUAUAUUUGAGGUCUAUGGCCUAACUUUGGUGAUUGUAGUAACUUGUACCUUUCGGAGAUUAUGUAUGAUGUUUUUAACUUUGAGACGGAUUUGGAGGAAUUUGGGAGCAGGGUGGCUCCAGGAGUUAUGGUUGGAUGAUUAGAAGUGAAUUUUGGUUUUCCGCAGG